UGGGGAAUAUUGCACAAUGGGCGCAAGCCUGAUGCAGCCAUGUCGCGUGUGUGAAGAAGGCCUUCGGGUUGUAAAGCACUUUCAGCGGGGAGGAAGGCGAUAAGGUUAAUAACCUUGUCGAUUGACGUUACCCGCAGAAGAAGCACCGGCUAACUCCGUGCCAGCAGCCGCGGUAAUACGGAGGGUGCAAGCGUUAAUCGGAAUUACUGGGCGUAAAGCGCACGCAGGCGGUCUGUCAAGUCGGAUGUGAAAUCCCCGGGCUCAACCUGGGAACUGCAUUCGAAAAUGGCAGGCUAGAGUCUUGUAGAGGGGGGUAGAAUUCCAGGUGUAGCGGUGAAAUGCGUAGAGAUCUGGAGGAAUACCGGUGGCGAAGGCGGCCCCCUGGACAAAGACUGACGCUCAGGUGCGAAAGCGUGGGGAGCAAACAGG
RNAcentral lists this ribosomal RNA (429 nucleotides) under Chloroflexota bacterium. RNAcentral's name for it is "Chloroflexi bacterium partial 16S ribosomal RNA". It matches the Rfam family "Bacterial small subunit ribosomal RNA", at positions 355 to 776 of the family's 1533-position model. Lineage: Bacteria; Bacillati; Chloroflexota. The record is from RNAcentral.